RNAcentral lists this ribosomal RNA (702 nucleotides) under uncultured Alphaproteobacteria bacterium. RNAcentral describes it as "bacterial SSU rRNA". It matches the Rfam family "Bacterial small subunit ribosomal RNA", at positions 28 to 776 of the family's 1533-position model. Lineage: Bacteria; Pseudomonadati; Pseudomonadota; Alphaproteobacteria. The record is from RNAcentral.
AACGAACGCUGGCGGCAUGCCUAAUACAUGCAAGUCGAACGAGAUCUUCGGAUCUAGUGGCGCACGGGUGCGUAACGCGUGGGAAUCUGCCCUUGGGUUCGGAAUAACAGCGGGAAACUGCUGCUAAUACCGGAUGAUGACGAAAGUCCAAAGAUUUAUCGCCCAAGGAUGAGCCCGCGUAGGAUUAGGUAGUUGGUGGGGUAAAGGCCUACCAAGCCUACGAUCCUUAGCUGGUCUGAGAGGAUGAUCAGCCACACUGGGACUGAGACACGGCCCAGACUCCUACGGGAGGCAGCAGUAGGGAAUAUUGGACAAUGGGGGCAACCCUGAUCCAGCAAUGCCGCGUGAGUGAUGAAGGCCUUAGGGUUGUAAAGCUCUUUUACCCGGGAUGAUAAUGACAGUACCGGGAGAAUAAGCCCCGGCUAACUCCGUGCCAGCAGCCGCGGUAAUACGGAGGGGGCUAGCGUUGUUCGGAAUUACUGGGCGUAAAGCGCACGUAGGCGGCGAUUUAAGUCAGAGGUGAAAGCCCGGGGCUCAACCCCGGAACUGCCUUUGAGACUGGAUUGCUAGAAUCUUGGAGAGGCGGGUGGAAUUCCGAGUGUAGAGGUGAAAUUCGUAGAUAUUCGGAAGAACACCAGUGGCGAAGGCGGCCCGCUGGACAAGUAUUGACGCUGAGGUGCGAAAGCGUGGGGAGCAAACAGG